GGAAAGAUGGUAGAGUGGUUUAAUACAUCGGUCUUGAAAACCGAAAAAGUGAAUACUUUCCAGGGUUCGAAUCCCUGUCUUUCCA
Molecule: non-coding RNA, 85 nt
Organism: Candidatus Carsonella ruddii DC
Lineage: Bacteria; Pseudomonadati; Pseudomonadota; Gammaproteobacteria; Oceanospirillales; Halomonadaceae
Source: Rfam